CUCCGUGAUGCCCCGGGGCCCAAUUGAGUUUCCCUGGGGAUAUGGACACAACUUUCUCCCUGAGACAGUGUACCCCACUUCCCGAGAUCCAGACUUCAGCACCCACAGGCACCCAUGGCCAUGGAGCCUUCCAGCGAACCUCUCAGCACCAGCGUGUGUGGGCCAGGGCAGACUUGGGCGCCAUGCCGCGGACGAAGAAGGAAGGCAGCGGGGCUGACGGCGAUUCUACAGCAAGAAAGGACACAGUUGCUCACUCCAGCUGGAGAUGACAUGUGGGGAUUUCAGGAGAGGUUCCUGGGGCUCCCCUCAGCACUGAGGCAAAACAGAAGGCUCUGUCAGCAGGACAGGAGCACUGCAGAAACGGGGGAGUCAGAGCAGAGAGAACACCUUGAGGAUGUGAGUUACAGCUAGAGGGGACGAUGGUCAAGGUCAGCGGGGACGGAGGCGAAGCCCUGCCGGAGUGUCUCCAGGUGAAGCCUGCCUCGAAGGGGCAGGUGAGUGGUGAGUGAGGGCACCGAGCAAGUAGUAAGUGAGCAGAUGCUGGCUGCUACGCAGGAGAAAGAGACAAGAAAGUGCGGAGGGUACGUGGGGAAGACAUCCCAGGGAGCCAUAACUCAAACUCUCCAUCACCUGUUCCAUCUGACCCCCCCCCCGUCACCUGCCCCCUCACCUCCACCCUGAUUAAAAGAUAAGAAACACAGGAGCUAAUCCAGAGACACCUUGAAGAUCUAGCGUAGGAAGUGGCCACAUUUAUCCUAAUACGCCUCUUCAGAAUCACCGUUCCCCUUUAAAGAGAGCACCAGUAACUGGCCACUGAGUCCUGGCAGCUAACUGCCCAGCCAGGAACCCCUGGAUUCACCAUGAAUCAAGGGCAUGGGCUCCGAGAGCAUCAUUCCCUCUCCCAGGGAGGAAAAUGGACCUUGGAGCCAUCACCCGUGAUUUAUCUCGGCCCCCUCAGAUGGCCUCAAUUAAAUCCCACUGCCAGUGGAGAAGGAGAAGGUGGCAGAGGCAUUUAAUUACAUCUUAGCAUGUGCUCACUGCCGAAUCUAUGGAAGAGUACUAGGGAUUUUUCACCUCAUCACCAAACAGCGGGAGCCCUGGGUGCCGCGGG
This 1111-nucleotide long non-coding RNA is filed under the name Fukomys damarensis (Damara mole-rat). RNAcentral describes it as "lncRNA (ENSFDAG00000030145.1)". The record is from RNAcentral. Lineage: Eukaryota; Metazoa; Chordata; Mammalia; Rodentia; Bathyergidae.